AACAUUGAUAAAAAGUAUUACAAGGUGAAGAAUAUGAAUCUUCAUACUCCUCACAUGUACUCUCAUCAUAGCUCUCAUAAGCUUUGCGAACAAAAGGGUUAUACCUAACACCAAAUCUAGGUUCGGAGUAAGAAGUGUAAGACUCCUCACAUGCCCCAACGUCAUCAUAAGAUCCAUCACGAGGUCCUACAUCAUCUCCAAAUUCACCAUAAGCACUAGACACUUCAUUCACCUCAUUUUCCC
Molecule: long non-coding RNA, 243 nt
Filed under: Capsicum annuum
Lineage: Eukaryota; Viridiplantae; Streptophyta; Magnoliopsida; Solanales; Solanaceae
Description: long non-coding RNA (CANN_LNC019901)
Source: RNAcentral